GACGAACGCUGUCGGCGUGCUUAACACAUGCAAGUCGAACGGAAAGGCCCUGCUUUUGUGGGGUGCUCGAGUGGCGAACGGGUGAGUAACACGUGAGUAACCUGCCCUUGACUUUGGGAUAACUACAGGAAACUGGGGCUAAUACCGGAUAGGAGCUCCUGCUGCAUGGUGGGGGUUGGAAAGUUUCGGCGGUUGGGGAUGGACUCGCGGCUUAUCAGCUUGUUGGUGGGGUAGUGGCUUACCAAGGCUUUGACGGGUAGCCGGCCUGAGAGGGUGACCGGCCACAUUGGGACUGAGAUACGGCCCAGACUCCUACGGGAGGCAGCAGUGGGGAAUAUUGCACAAUGGGCGGAAGCCUGAUGCAGCAACGCCGCGUGCGGGAUGACGGCCUUCGGGUUGUAAACCGCUUUCGCCUGUGACGAAGCGUGAGUGACGGUAAUGGGUAAAGAAGCACCGGCUAACUACGUGCCAGCAGCCGCGGUGAUACGUAGGGUGCGAGCGUUGUCCGGAUUUAUUGGGCGUAAAGGGCUCGUAGGUGGUUGAUCGCGUCGGAAGUGUAAUCUUGGGGCUUAACCCUGAGCGUGCUUUCGAUACGGGUUGACUUGAGGAAGGUAGGGGAGAAUGGAAUUCCUGGUGGAGCGGUGGAAUGCGCAGAUAUCAGGAGGAACACCAGUGGCGAAGGCGGUUCUCUGGGCCUUUCCUGACGCUGAGGAGCGAAAGCGUGGGGAGCGAACAGGCUUAGAUACCCUGGUAGUCCACGCUGUAAACGGUGGGUACUAGGUGUGGGGUCCAUUCCACGGGUUCCGUGCCGUAGCUAACGCUUUAAGUACCCCGCCUGGGGAGUACGGCCGCAAGGCUAAAACUCAAAGGAAUUGACGGGGCCCCGCACAAGCGGCGGAGCAUGCGGAUUAAUUCGAUGCAACGCGUAGAACCUUACCUGGGUUUGACAUGGAUCGGGAGCGCUCAGAGAUGGGUGUGCCUCUUUUGGGGUCGGUUCACAGGUGGUGCAUGGCUGUCGUCAGCUCGUGUCGUGAGAUGUUGGGUUAAGUCCCGCAACGAGCGCAACCCUUGUUCACUGUUGCCAGCACGUUAUGGUGGGGACUCAGUGGAGACCGCCGGGGUCAACUCGGAGGAAGGUGGGGAUGACGUCAAGUCAUCAUGCCCCUUAUGUCCAGGGCUUCACGCAUGCUACAAUGGCUAGUACAGAGAGUGGCGAGCCUGUGAGGGUGAGCGAAUCCCGGAAAGCCGGUCUCAGUUCGGAUUGGGGUCUGCAACUCGACCUCAUGAAGUCGGAGUCGCUAGUAAUCGCAGAUCAGCAACGCUGCGGUGAAUACGUUCCCGGGGCU
Molecule: ribosomal RNA, 1346 nt
Filed under: uncultured bacterium
Lineage: Bacteria
Description: bacterial SSU rRNA
Rfam family: Bacterial small subunit ribosomal RNA
Source: RNAcentral